UACGAAGGGGGCUAGCGUUACUCGGAUUGACUGGGCGUAAAGGGCGCGUAGGCGGCUUGUACAGUCAGACGUGAAAUUCCUGGGCUCAACCUGGGGGCUGCGUUUGAUACGUGCGGACUUGAGUGCGGAAGAGGGUCGUGGAAUUCCCAGUGUAGAGGUGAAAUUCGUAGAUAUUGGGAAGAACACCGGCGGCGAAGGCGGCACUCUGGGCCGGUACUGACGCUGAGGAGCGAAAGCGUGGGGAGCAAACAGG
RNAcentral lists this ribosomal RNA (253 nucleotides) under uncultured bacterium. RNAcentral describes it as "partial 16S ribosomal RNA". It matches the Rfam family "Bacterial small subunit ribosomal RNA", at positions 524 to 776 of the family's 1533-position model. The record is from RNAcentral.